This 427-nucleotide ribosomal RNA is filed under the name uncultured bacterium. Its description in RNAcentral is "partial 16S ribosomal RNA". It matches the Rfam family "Bacterial small subunit ribosomal RNA", at positions 355 to 774 of the family's 1533-position model. The record is from RNAcentral.
UGGGGAAUAUUGGACAAUGGGCGAAAGCCUGAUCCAGCCAUGCCGCGUGUGUGAAGAAGGUCUUCGGAUUGUAAAGCACUUUAAGUUGGGAGGAAGGGCAGUAAGUUAAUACCUUGCUGCUUUGACGUUACCGACAGAAUAAGCACCGGCUAACUCUGUGCCAGCAGCCGCGGUAAUACAGAGGGUGCAAGCGUUAAUCGGAAUUACUGGGCGUAAAGCGCGCGUAGGUGGUUUGUUAAGUUGGAUGUGAAAGCUCCGGGGUCAACCUGGGAACUGCAUCCAAAACUGGCAAGCUAGAGUACGGUAGAGGGUGGUGGAAUUUCCUGUGUAGCGGUGAAAUGCGUAGAUAUAGGAAGGAACACCAGUGGCGAAGGCGACCACCUGGACUGAUACUGACACUGAGGUGCGAAAGCGUGGGGAGCAAACA